This 301-nucleotide ribosomal RNA is filed under the name uncultured bacterium. Its description in RNAcentral is "partial 16S ribosomal RNA". It matches the Rfam family "Bacterial small subunit ribosomal RNA", at positions 509 to 807 of the family's 1533-position model. The record is from RNAcentral.
CAGCAGCCGCGGUAAUACGUAGGUGGCAAGCGUUGUCCGGAAUUAUUGGGCGUAAAGGGCUCGCAGGCGGCCAUUCAAGUUAGAUGUGAAAGCCCUGGGCUCAACCUAGGAAUUGCAUUUGAUACUGUUUGGCUUGAGUUCGGGAGAGGUGAGUGGAAUUCCCAGUGUAGAGGUGAAAUUCGUAGAUAUCAGGAGGAACACCUGUGGCGAAAGCGGCUCACUGGACCAUAACUGACGCUGAGGCACGAAAGCUAGGGGAGCAAACAGGAUUAGAUACCCCAGUAGUCCCUGUCUCUUAUAC